RNAcentral lists this ribosomal RNA (468 nucleotides) under uncultured bacterium. RNAcentral's name for it is "partial 16S ribosomal RNA". It matches the Rfam family "Bacterial small subunit ribosomal RNA", at positions 28 to 507 of the family's 1533-position model. The record is from RNAcentral.
GAUGAACGCUGGCGGCGUGCUUAACACAUGCAAGUCGAACGGAAAGGCCCUGCUCUUGUGGGGUGCUCGAGUGGCGAACGUGUGAGUAACACGUGAGUAACCUGCCCUUGACUUUGGGAUAACUUCAGGAAACUGGGGCUAAUACCGGAUAGGAGCUCCUGCUGCAUGGUGGGGGUUGGAAAGUUUCGGCGGUUGGGGAUGGACUCGCGGCUUAUCAGCUUGUUGGUGGGGUAGUGGCUUACCAAGGCUUUGACGGGUAUCCGGCCUGAGAGGGUGAGCGGCCACAUUGGGACUGAGAUACGGCCCAGACUCCUACGGGAGGCAGCAGUGGGGAAUAUUGCACAAUGGGCGGAAGCCUGAUGAAGUAACGCCGCGUGCGGAAUGACGGCCUUCGUGUUGUAAACCGCUUUCGCCUGUGACGAAGCGUGAGUGACGGUAAUGGGUAAAGAAGCACCGGCUAACUACGUG